GCCAGGUUAGUGUGCGAGGAGGGAGAGUGGGGCUUGGUUUGGACUGGAGGGAGAGAGGGAAGGGCGACGAGAUUGUAACCGCCCCCAGUGUUCCGAUCUCACCCCGGCUCGCUGGCCUGUCUUGUCUUGUACGUUUGGACAGGUACGUGGAUUUGAAAGGUUUGGCGGGAUAUGGGCUAAUCGCAGGCAAAUGGGACCAGUUCAGGUUCAAACACUGAUCCCUGAUGCAUUCGGUGCUCUCGAUGUGACCUCCUUUGUCUCACCUGGAACGGUUUUAGCAGUCCCUGAAUGGAGGCGAGUGAGGGAGGAGGCAUUGGAACAGGUUUUGCACCCCCUGCGAUCACAAGGGAAGGUGCCUGAGGAGGGAUACGCGAUACGAUACGAUACAUAGAAACAUAGAAAAUAGGUGCAGGAGGACACCAUUCGGCCCUUUGAGCCAGCACCACCAUUCAAUAUGAUCAUGGCUGAUCAUCCAAAAUCAAUACCCUGUUCCUACUUUCUCCCCAUAUCCCUUGAUUCUGUUAGCCUUAAGAGCUAUAUCUAACUCUCUCUUGAAAACAUCCAGUGAAUUGGCCUCCACUGCCUUCUGCGGCAGAGAAUUCCACAGAUGCACAACUCUGGGUGAAAAAGUUUUUUUUCAUCUCAGUCCUAAAUGGCCUACCCCUUAUUCUUAAACUGUGGCCCCUGGUUCUUGACUUCCCCAACAUGGGGAACGUUUUUCCUGCAUCUAGCCUGAAUAUCCUGAAUAUAAGCCCAAUAUGAUACGAUACGAUAGAACUUUAUUUAUCCCAGAUGGGAAAUUUUACAGGGAGGAAGUAAAACAACUAGUGGACUGGUACGGCAACAACAAUUUAGCAUUAAAUGUCGACAAAACAAAGGAGAUGAUUGUCGACUUCAGGAGGGCGCAGCCAAAACACACACCCCUCAACAUCAGUGACACCACAGUGGAGAGAGUGGAGAGCAUAAAGUUCCUCGGAGUGCAAAUUACAGGCAGUCUCACCUGGUCCAGGAACACCACUGGGACCGUCAAACGGGCCCAUCAGUGACUGCACUUCCUGAGGAAACUCAAACAGGCCUCACUCCCCACCAACAACCUCAGGACUUUUUACAGGGGCACGGUGGAGUCUGUACUCACGUACUGCAUAAACACGUGGUACUCCAACUGUAACUGCUCAGACAGGAAGGCUCUGCAGAGGGUAGUGAGGGGAGCAGAGAGGAUCAUUGGCGUCUCCCUCCGCUCGGUACAAGAACUGUUCCUGAGCCGCUGUCUGAAAAAAGCUCUGAGAAUAGCUAAGGACAAACUGCACCCCCUCCACACACACCUGGAUCUCCUGCCAUCAGGCAAGAGAUACCGUAGCAUCAAAGCCCGGACUACCAGACUGCUAAACAGCUUCCUGCCACAGGCUGUGAGGCUGCUAAACAGUCACUCUGUACUCAGUCACCUGAUUCUGCGGCUUUGCACUGACAUUUUAAUAACUCUGGCACUGGCCACUUAAAUCAGCUGCCCUAGACAUUUUAAUGAUUGUUUUUACUGUAGUUUAAUGUUGCUGUUUUACCUGCUUUUAACUAUUUAUACUGUUUCAUCAGGGACUGGAUUGUUUUUACUGUUAUUAUGUGUGAAAUGUUUUAAGUUUCAUGUGCGAUGCUCCGGUAUUCCCUGGGAAACGUCUUCUCAUUUUGCACUGUACAACUGUUGCUUUGCAAGAUGACAAUAAAGGUUGAUUGAUUUGUGA
Long non-coding RNA from Leucoraja erinaceus (little skate), 1733 nucleotides. RefSeq lists it as uncharacterized. Lineage: Eukaryota; Metazoa; Chordata; Chondrichthyes; Rajiformes; Rajidae. The record is from RefSeq and is a predicted model, not a curated record. The transcript has 2 exons.